Non-coding RNA from Lonchura striata (white-rumped munia), 475 nucleotides. The record is from RefSeq and is a predicted model, not a curated record. NCBI's taxonomy places the organism in Eukaryota, Metazoa, Chordata, Aves, Passeriformes, Estrildidae.
UCCUCACUCGGACAGUUUGGGCAGGCAACUGGAGGAGAAAGACAUGGGACUCAUGUGGCUUCUUACUGACAGAACGGAGCUGGAUUUCCUCUCCUAAAGAUACUUUUGCUUGACUCCACCUCCAAUUCCAGCUUAUUUGGUUGGGCUCUGGACAUCAGAGGUUCAGGAUAUGGGUCACUGCUGCCUUUCCCUGCAAAGCUACAUGAGAAGCCUGUGCCCCUCUGGCAUUCACUGCUGCUCAGUUGAGCCAGACAGUUUAAAGUCCAUUUCAGGAUGGAUUUCAUUUUACCCUCUUGUGUUGGUUCUCCUGAAGCUGAAGCAGAUGCUAUACCAUAUUCUGAGGUAACUUCUGUUGAAAAUGAUCUUUAUCUGUCAUUUUUCAAGAUUUUAUGUUAAAGAUAUAGUUCUAAUCCAAUAAUAUUUUUUCAUACUAAUGGCAAUAUUUACACACAUAGGAUGCUGUAAGCAGGUAAGA